This 735-nucleotide ribosomal RNA is filed under the name uncultured Fusobacterium sp. Its description in RNAcentral is "bacterial SSU rRNA". It matches the Rfam family "Bacterial small subunit ribosomal RNA", at positions 28 to 776 of the family's 1533-position model. Lineage: Bacteria; Fusobacteriati; Fusobacteriota; Fusobacteriia; Fusobacteriales; Fusobacteriaceae. The record is from RNAcentral.
GAUGAACGCUGACAGAAUGCUUAACACAUGCAAGUCAACUUGAAUUUGGGUUUUUAACUUAGGUUUGGGUGGCGGACGGGUGAGUAACGCGUAAAGAACUUGCCUCACAGCUAGGGACAACAUUUGGAAACGAAUGCUAAUACCUAAUAUUAUGAUAAUAGGGCAUCCUAUAAUUAUGAAAGCUAUAAGCGCUGUGAGAGAGCUUUGCGUCCCAUUAGCUAGUUGGAGAGGUAACGGCUCGCCAAGGCGAUGAUGGGUAGCCGGCCUGAGAGGGUGAUCGGCCACAAGGGGACUGAGACACGGCCCUUACUCCUACGGGAGGCAGCAGUGGGGAAUAUUGGACAAUGGACCGAGAGUCUGAUCCAGCAACUCUGUGUGCACGAUGAAGUUUUUCGGAAUGUAAAGUGCUUUCAGUUGGGAAGAAAAAAAUGACGGUACCAACAGAAGAAGUGACGGCUAAAUACGUGCCAGCAGCCGCGGUAAUACGUAUGUCACGAGCGUUAUCCGGAUUUAUUGGGGCGUAAAGCGCGUCUAGGUGGUUAUAUAAGUCUGAUGUGAAAAUGCAGGGCUCAACUCUGUAUUGCGUUGGAAACUGUAUAACUAGAGUACUGGAGAGGUAAGCGGAACUACAAAUGUAGAGGUGAAAUUCGUAGAUAUUUGUAGGAUGCCGAUGGGGAAGCCAGCUUACUGGACAGAUACUGACGCUGAAGCGCGAAAGCGUGGGUAGCAAACAGG